GAUCAUGGCUCAGGAUGAACGCUAGCUACAGGCUUAACACAUGCAAGUCGAGGGGCAGCAUGUUGGUUGCUUGCAACCGAUGAUGGCGACCGGCGCACGGGUGAGUAACGCGUAUCCAACCUACCCUUGUCCAUCGGAUAACCCGUCGAAAGGCGGCCUAACACGAUAUGCGGUUCACAGCAGGCAUCUAACGUGAACGAAAUAGUGAAGGAAGGAAGGAAUGGGGAGUGCGU
This 233-nucleotide ribosomal RNA is filed under the name uncultured bacterium. Its description in RNAcentral is "partial 16S ribosomal RNA". It matches the Rfam family "Bacterial small subunit ribosomal RNA", at positions 15 to 236 of the family's 1533-position model. The record is from RNAcentral.